Molecule: ribosomal RNA, 495 nt
Filed under: uncultured bacterium
Lineage: Bacteria
Description: partial 16S ribosomal RNA
Rfam family: Bacterial small subunit ribosomal RNA
Source: RNAcentral
GACGAACGCUGGCGGCGUGCCUAAUACAUGCAAGUAGAACGCGGAAGGAGGAGCUUGCUCUUCUGGAUGAGUUGCGAACGGGUGAGUAACGCGUAGGUAACCUGCCUUGUAGCGGGGGAUAACUAUUGGAAACGAUAGCUAAUACCGCAUAACAGUAGAUGUUGCAUGACAUUUACUUAAAAGGUGCAAUUGCAUCACUACCAGAUGGACCUGCGUUGUAUUAGCUAGUUGGUGGGGUAACGGCUCACCAAGGCGACGAUACAUAUCCGACCUGAGAGGGGGAUCGGCCACACUGAGACUGAGACACGGCCCAGACUCCUACGGGAGGCAGCCGGAGGGAAUCUUCGGCAAUGGACGGAAGUCUGACCGAGCAACGCCGCGUGAGGGUAGAGGGUUUUCGGAUCGUAAAGUUCUGUUGUAAGAGAAGAACGAGCGUGAGAGUGGAACGUUCACACUGUGACGGUAUCUUACAAGAAAGGAACGGCUAACUACGUG